Long non-coding RNA from Apodemus sylvaticus (European woodmouse), 547 nucleotides. RefSeq lists it as uncharacterized. The record is from RefSeq and is a predicted model, not a curated record. The transcript has 3 exons. NCBI's taxonomy places the organism in Eukaryota, Metazoa, Chordata, Mammalia, Rodentia, Muridae.
GAUUCUGAUCUCUCCCCGCUCUUGAAGCUCCUUCUGCCUCCACAGAGAUGAGAGUGAAAAGAGAAAGACAGGGGGCCAAAGAGAUGGCUCAGCAGUUAAGAGACUGGCAGCUCUUCCAGAAGAUGCUGGCUCCGGUCCUGGCAACCACGUGACACCUCACAACUGUCUGUAACUUCAGUUUCAGGAGAUCUGACCCUGCCCUGGUCUCUGAAGGCACCAGGCCCACGUGUGUCCAUCUCUUCCACCGCUGACCUUCCGUGCGCCUUUGCCCGUGCUCGUCCCCUGGCAGAUGGAAGCCUGUGUAAUGUGACAUCUAUCUGCCUGCAGUUCCAAACCCUGGGAUUCGCUCUGCAUCUGCCUUGGCCUAACGCCUGCUGACGGACUGGCGGGUCUACUGAGUGUCUGAGUGGCAAGGACUUGGCGAGUGCCCUCGAGGAUGCGUGGUGGGGGACGCCAAAGGUCUCCAAGGCGCUCCUCACCAGUUGUAGGUCGGCCACCGUCCGGUCUGGCACGAGACUGUACACUUGGCUCCUCAGCGCGAUGGGCG